Molecule: small RNA, 619 nt
Filed under: Cephalotheca sulfurea
Lineage: Eukaryota; Fungi; Ascomycota; Sordariomycetes; Cephalothecales; Cephalothecaceae
Description: eukaryotic LSU rRNA
Rfam family: Eukaryotic large subunit ribosomal RNA
Source: RNAcentral
UUGACCUCGGAUCAGGUAGGAAUACCCGCUGAACUUAAGCAUAUCAAUAAGCGGAGGAAAAGAAACCAACAGGGAUUGCCCUAGUAACGGCGAGUGAAGCGGCAACAGCUCGAAUUUGAAAUCUGGCUUCGGCCCGAGUUGUAAUCUGUAGAGGAUGCUUUUGGCGCGGUGCCUUCCGAGUGCCCUGGAACGGGACGCCACAGAGGGUGAGAGCCCCGUAUGGUCGGACACCAAGCCUGUGUAAAGCUCCUUCGACGAGUCGGGUAGCUUGGGAAUGCUGCUCUAAGUGGGAGGUAAACUUCUUCUAAAGCUAAAUACUGGCCAGAGACCGAUAGCGCACAAGUAGAGUGAUCGAAAGAUGAAAAGCACUUUGAAAAGAGGGUCAAAUAGUACGUGAAAUUGUUGAAAGGGAAGCGCUCAUGACCAGACUUGCGCCGGGCUGAUCAUCCAGUGGUUUCCACUGGUGCACUCUGCCCGGCUCAGGCCAGCGUCGGCUGUCACGGGGGGACAAAAGCACUGGGAAAGUAGCUCUCUCCGGGGAGUGUUAUAGCCCUAUGCAGAAUACCCCCGCGGCGGCCGAGGUCCGCGCUCUGCAAGGACGCUGGCGUAAUGGUCAUCA